Chinchilla lanigera (long-tailed chinchilla) is the source of this 5283-nucleotide long non-coding RNA. NCBI's taxonomy places the organism in Eukaryota, Metazoa, Chordata, Mammalia, Rodentia, Chinchillidae. The record is from Ensembl.
CUUCCCCAGCCAAGCCCGGGCCUCUGGGCCAGGUGAGUUGGCAGCUUUCUUUCUUCAGCUCCUUGGCCUCUGGGGCUGAGGAGCGCUCUGAGCAGAGGGGUGACAGCAGGUGACCCGGUUUGUAUUCUCUUUUAUGCAUCUAUUUGUGAGUCCCUGCCCUGGAUCACCCCUUCCAGCGGCCACUCAGUGUCUGGCACCUUAGGCUGUGUGCUCUCCUGCUGAAGACGCACUGUUGCUCGGUGCGCCUGUGUUUUAUUUUAUGGACGUGACAGGUGCAUCACCGCUCUCGUGGCUUCUUCCCUUUCUUGCUGCUUACCAUAUGUUAAAGUGCACUGGUGCUGCUGAGUGUCAUUUUCAGAACCCCACAGUUGUCCAGGCAGCUACAACCCCAGCUGAUCGCAGUCCCACACUACCAUGGAUCUGGGAGGAACUUUCUCAGAGGGGAGGCCUUCACAGACAAACUAUGUGGGGUGCAGGCCCAGCAGGACAGAAGCUCCUGGGAAGCAGCCAUUUCCUUGCUGACAAAGCCCCUGGAGGAAAUGCUGACAUCAAUUCACAGCGGUAAAACAAUGAAGGGAUAAGUGUUUCCUGGCAAGGGAAGGGCUGCAGUGCAGCUGGAAGGGAACGGCGCGCUGCGGUCAAGGGCACGGGAGCACAGCCAACUGAGAGACGGCCAAGGAGACAACUGCCCACGUGACUGUCCCCAGGUGGUAAGGAUGCCCAUGUUCAACAAGGAAACUAAAUCAGAUGACCUGCAGCUGUUUUCCACACAUCUGCGUAUAUCUGCCUAUCCACUCAUUCAUCCACACAUUCAUCCAUCCCUCCAUCUUUUCACAUACAUAGCCAUGCAGUCAUUCAUUCGUCUGUACAUCCGUUUGUCCAUCCAUCCAGGUGUCCAUGUAUCUACCCAUCUAUUUGUGCAUCCAUCCGUCCACCCAUCCUUCCACCCAUCCAUCUAUCCAUCCAUCCACCCACCACUCAUUCAUCCAUCUAUCUACUCAUCUGUUUAGUUUGAACUGCCCCAUACACAAACUCUUUGAUAUGAGGAUCUGAAUUGGGAUAUACUGGAAUAUGAGGAGAGGAGUGGAGAGGUGACAAAGGGCAUGGAGAGAAGUUAACAGAGCACUGUUUUGUGCUAGUUACAGUGAUGGGAAAAUAUGGACUUAUGCCACUGGGCAACUCCAAAGAGUAUCCUAAUCAAUAGGUGAGGAACCUGAGGGCAUUUAUCUACCAAAUCCCUAAAUUGAAGGCUGUUUAGGGGGGAAUUAAAACUCUGACACUUCCAAUCUUGCCCUUGGACUGAACAAUCUAGAAAAGCAUUCACAAACAGAAAGCCACAGUGUUUUGCAAAACGUAGCUUUUGAAGCAUUAAGGUCAACGCUGAGAAAAGAGAGAGAACUUACAUGAUCCAUCCAUAUAGUCACUGGUUGUACACACAUCUCUGCAUCUUCCAUCCACCUAGCCAUGCACGACUCAUCCACUCAGCCACCACUCAUCCACUUGUGAUGGCUAAUUUUAUGUGUUCACUUAAUUAGCUUCUGAGAUGCACAGACAGCUGGUAAAACAUUACUUCUAAGAAUAUUUGUGAGAGCGUCAAUAGAAAAGAUCAGCGUCCGACUUGGCAGACCGAGUAAAGAACAUCCACCCUGAGCAGGGUGAAUAAGCAUCAUCCGAUUUGGAUCUGGGCUUAAUGAAACAAAAUAGUGGAGGAAAGGUAAAUUCUCUCCCCUUUUCUUCUAGGACCAAGAUAACUAUCUUCUGUCCUUGGCCAUCAGAGCUCCUGAUUUAGACUUGCACUGGAUUAUACCUCCACUUCUGUUUCUCCAGUUUGAACAGCGUAUUGUAGGACCCCUCAGCUCCCCUGUUGUACUUCUGUACAUCUCUCUAGCUAUAUUCAUAUCUAUUGCUGUAUUUCCUACUGGUUGUUUCUCUGGAGAACCCUACAAUACCAUUCUUCAUCUCUUCCUUUUUUCUAUCCUUCCAUGUAUCUUUCUAUCCAUCUUGUCUUUGUCUAAAUGUCUCAGAUUAGCUAUUUUGUCCACACAACAACUAAGGAACAAGAACUACAAUAAAAUUCCAGAAAAUCUCAGCAGCCAAAUCUCUAGGAAUUGGGACCCCUUCUUCCAAGCUUCCAAGGCCAGUCACAAAAAAACUUCAUGAUGUAGAACAUCCUCCAAGGAUCCAAUGGUACCAAACUGGAGGUCCCAUUGUUUGGGGUAUGUCCUAAGUUUCUGAAUAGCAUGCGCAUCAGAAAAGAUACAACAACUGUCAUUUGGGGGGAUUUUUGGUAUUUUCUGAACUUGGCAUCAGAGAUCUCUGUAGCAGUCAUGGUAUUUUGAAGUGAGACUUCUUGGAUCUUAAUGUAGGUUUUACCAUUUCUAGAUGUGUGAUCUUGAGCGUGUGCUUGGACCUCUGUAAGCCUCAGUUGGCAUAGCUGUGAAAAAGGAAUCAGAAGGCUGCUGCGAUUAGAAAAAGAAACCCACACAGGAGCACUUGGGACAGUGCCGGUUGUACAUAACAGGUGUUUGGACGGUGUUAGCAAGGAUGGUGACGGUGGUGAUGAUGACGACCAUGGCGGAGACAGUGGCAACCUGAUUAUGAUGGUAACGAUGACAACAGUGAUGAUGAAGAAUAGAGAUGAUGACAGGUGUACGAUGAUGAUAAUGAUGUUUAUGGUAAUAAUGAAGCUGCUGGUGGCUGCUGCUGCUGGUGAUGAUGACUCUGACAGGGAUGGUGAUGGUGAUGGUUUCCUAUUUGACUACUGAUGCUCUGAUGGAGGGAAUGCUCAGUAAGAAGACGUCUCCUUCCAUCCACAGAAGGGAUGUGUCAAGGCUCGGGGACAGAGGGCUUGCCUGGCUCUGUGACUCUAAUCCUAUUUCAAAUGCUUAGCCCAGGGUAAAUAGUCACUCACAUCUUUGUCAGACCAUGUAAUUAAAAAGAAUUCAGAGAGAUGGGGAUACAUUUGGCAUUCUAAUUUUCAAAUUGAUUCCUGCCGUGCCUCGAGGACCGAACAAGCCUCUGCUGGACUCAGGACAUAUGCGGAUCUGGAGACAGAGCUUGGACGCGGAUCCCAACAGGACGUUCCAGGGACCUCAGUCCUCUUACUUGGUGCCCUGUGGCCCCGAGACCGGCUGGAGACUCCACCACAAGGCUCUCCAGGUGCUGAUACUUGCUCACAGCCUUUCCCUCAGGGGCCCACCCUGAAUUCAAGGCGGACACGUGUCUGGGCAUUUCUGUCCAGGAGCUCCUUGUGUGGGAGGACACCAGGAGCUACUCAGCCAGAAAGCCUUGGGGUCAGACUCUCCAGGUAGGUCUCAGCUGUACCCAGAACUGGGUGACCUGGGGAGCGCACAGUUUUUCUAAGCCUCAGUUUCCUCAAAUAGAAAUUGAAGGUAAUCUUGGUAAGUGACUCCCAAGGUUCCUUGUGAGGAAAUGAGUUAGUGCCUGUGAAGUGCCGUGGGCCACGUGCUCACUAAAUGAGACUGAAUAAGUAAAUGAGUGCCUCUCUGGGCUCUCACAGAAGUGUAAGGGUAGAUCAGUAAUCUCACUCACUUUAUUUCUUUAAUUUUAACUUUUAUCAGUAUAAGUUUGCGUACAGAAUGAUCAUACUCAUUGCGGGGAGUUGGUACACGUACAUAACACACCCUAAUUAUUUUUUUUUAUCCCUUUCCUGCCCCUUCCCUCCUCCUCCCUGCCUCUCAUGGUCUCUUUGCCUUUUGCAAAGGAUCGGUCUCCCUGCUUUCCAUUGUCUAUCUUUUACUUUGAAUGAGAGGAACUUAGUAACCCAUUCACUUGCUCAUCUAUUUAUUCCUGCACUCAUUCAGCCCAUGCUGGGACUGGUUGCUCCCCCCAUCCUACAUGUUAGGGGACACAGCUGAGAUCUCAUGGAGCCACUGCCUGGGAGGACAGGCAGGUAGCACACAGCUAGUGGGAAUUCAGGGAGUAAGACUUUGCCCUGUGGGUGCCGGAGGCAGCGCCUGGAGCAGCCUGGGGGUGUAGGAGAAAGCAAGGGAGGCUCCAGCGGGGAGUGGGGGGCAGUGUCUGAGCCGACUGGGCAGAGCACUCGGGCUGGGUGUUGAAAGGAGAUGUGGGCUCCAGGCCAAGAACUCCGCAGGCAACAGUAUCUGGGAAUGAGGUACCACAGUAACCCUGGGUGUGAGUGGACAUCAGUGGACGAAGCUCAGUCCCUCCCUUCGGGGCUCCCAAAGGAGUAAAUCAGAAGUGUUUAGGGCUUUGCUUGGUAGCUAAAGUCAUUUAAGUGAGCUGAUGUGUGAGUAUUCCCGUCACACACAUGAAAGGAUGGGUGUGUGAAGUAACACACGUGCUCCUUAGCUCCAUUUAGCCAUUCUAUAAUGUCUAUGGAUUUCACAACAUGCUGCACAGGAUAAAUAUGAUUUACAUUUCUCCCAGCUUCUUGUUGCUGUUACCAAAUACCUAAGAAAAACAACUUAAAGGGGUGAAGGUUUCUUCUGACUCCUGGCUUCAAAGGUUUUGGUCCAUGGUCAACUCCACUGCUUCUUGCCUGCAGGUACAAGGGUGUGGUGGAAGAAAGCUGCUCAUCUCCUGACAGAAAGGAAGCGGAGAAGGUGAGGGAGCCUGAGAGGAAGGGGCUGGGUAGCAGACACAGUCUCCAGCAUCAUGCCCCUAUGAGCUAUUCCCUCCACACAAGCCCCGCCUCCUGUUUCCAUCUCUCCCCAAUAACGCUGUCAAAUUACCAUCUCGUCAAUAAAUCAGUCCACUGAGAAAGAGCUCCCACUGUGUCUGUGGAUACCCGCAGACACACCCAGAGUGUGGUGUAUGAAUUCCCUAGGUAUUCUGCAGCCAACCGACUUGACAAUCAAGAUCAGCCAUCGCAGUCCAUUUAAAAAUCAAUUAAUUAAGUAUCAAAAGUGUGGACGUUCAGGGAAAUACUUUCUGGUUGUGGAGAGAAAAUUGACAAAAACCUUGAAGUGAAAUAAACCGUACAGGCUUAUUUACCGGUAAGAACUCACUUGAACUUUCCCAAGUUCCUACAGACAGGUUUAGAAGAUAGUCACAGGACCCGUCCCACCCCAGCCAUCAUCUGCUGGGAGAUUUGCUCCCCCUGUGCUCUCACUGCCCUUCCUGGCUCACUCAGGCCCAGCCUCCAUGCCUUGCCUCAGCUGAAGCACACCUUGCCCUCCCCACUCCCCUGAAUUCCUUAUCCAAGAAGUUCUCUGGAUUAAUCUAAUGGCUUGUCCGCACAUGACAGAAUCCCACCUCCGACACUGCCACCGCUAACCAGCAGAUCAUGGAGUAGCUAAC